Penaeus monodon (black tiger shrimp) is the source of this 764-nucleotide long non-coding RNA. RefSeq lists it as uncharacterized. The transcript has 2 exons. Lineage: Eukaryota; Metazoa; Arthropoda; Malacostraca; Decapoda; Penaeidae. The record is from RefSeq and is a predicted model, not a curated record.
GUGUGAAUUAUUUUUUUCCUUGGAUAUGCAUCUGAGCAUCACCUGAUUUUCUCUCUCAUAAGCCUCAGCACUGAAUAGCAAGUACGUUCUUCGCAGAAUAAGGCUAUGAGUGAUUAAAAAAAAAAAGUACUUUAUACAUAUGCUGAAAUCCUUAUUUUUUCUUGUAUUCAUUCACCGGGACACCAAUCUGAAGGGGAAGGACACCAGCUUUCCGUGCCUGGGGAGGAAGCACGCGACGUCACUGUGGCAGGACGUACGUAGGGAGGAAGGACGGGGCGCCCUUAGCCUUCUGUCUGCCGAGCUUAUCACACACGGGUGGAAUUGGACACAGCGCCGUCUGCGAGCCCACGCAUUUUAGAAGAGUUAUUCCGGGAAGAAAUCGGGACUAGUUAUGAGGGAUGAGAGAAAAUGGGAACGAGUUUUCGAGCAUAGACAAUAAUAUUGUAAUGACAUUUUUUUAUGUCAGUGGUUCAAGGACGAGAAACGGGACAACUAUGAACCCCCCAAAAAAGACUCGGGAUAGAUGAUGUUUUUAGACGAGAACAAGGAGUGAUGAAGACCGUGAUUUUCUUAUUUUUAUCAAAGAAUUGUUAUAUUAAUUCUAGUGUGUAAAUAUUCUCAACGUAAGAUUUGCUUGUGGCAAUGUUUGUUAGGAUGGUUAGUUUUAAUGGUUACUGAAACUGUUUCAGAAUUUGUUUUACUUUCCCUCAUUUCACACGAUAGACACAACGGAAAUCCUAGUGUACAGUUAUUACCAAAAAAAA